CCCUGGGUGGUACAAAUGGAUAAUACACUUGGCUGCUAACCAAAAGAUUGGUGGUUGGAGUCCACCCAAAGGCA
RNAcentral lists this transfer RNA (74 nucleotides) under Loxodonta africana (African savanna elephant). It matches the Rfam family "tRNA". From Rfam's summary of the family: Transfer RNA (tRNA) molecules are approximately 80 nucleotides in length. Their secondary structure includes four short double-helical elements and three loops (D, anti-codon, and T loops). Further hydrogen bonds mediate the characteristic L-shaped molecular structure. tRNAs have two regions of fundamental functional importance: the anti-codon, which is responsible for specific mRNA codon recognition, and the 3' end, to which the tRNAs corresponding amino acid is attached (by aminoacyl-tRNA synthetases). tRNAs cope with the degeneracy of the genetic code in two manners: having more than one tRNA (with a specific anti-codon) for a particular amino acid; and 'wobble' base-pairing, i.e. permitting non-standard base-pairing at the 3rd anti-codon position. The record is from Rfam by way of RNAcentral. Lineage: Eukaryota; Metazoa; Chordata; Mammalia; Proboscidea; Elephantidae.